AAAUAGAUACCCCGGUAGUCCACGCCCUAAACGAUGCGAACUGGAUGUUGGGUACAUUACGGUACUCAGUGUCGAAGCUAACGCGUUAAGUUCGCCGCCUGGGGAGUACGGUCGCAAGACUGAAACUCAAAGGAAUUGACGGGGGCCCGCACAAGCGGUGGAGUAUGUGGUUUAAUUCGAUGCAACGCGAAGAACCUUACCUGGCCUUGACAUCUGUCGAAUCCUGCAGAGAUGCGGGAGUGCCGCAAGGAACGACAAGACAGGUGCUGCAUGGCUGUCGUCAGCUCGUGUCGUGAGAUGUUGGGUUAAGUCCCGCAACGAGCGCAACCCUUGUCCCUAGUUGCCAACACGUAAUGGUGGGAACUCUAGGGAGACUGCCGGUGACAAACCGGAGGAAGGUGGGGAUGACGUCAAGUCCUCAUGGCCCUUACGGCCAGGGCUACACACGUACUACAAUGGUCGGUACAGAGGGUCGCGAAGCCGCAAGGUGGAGCCAAUCCCAGAAAACCGAUCCCAGUCCGGAUUGGAGUCUGCAACUCGACU
RNAcentral lists this ribosomal RNA (543 nucleotides) under uncultured bacterium. RNAcentral's name for it is "bacterial SSU rRNA". It matches the Rfam family "Bacterial small subunit ribosomal RNA", at positions 776 to 1317 of the family's 1533-position model. The record is from RNAcentral.